This 869-nucleotide ribosomal RNA is filed under the name Chattonella subsalsa. RNAcentral's name for it is "partial large subunit ribosomal RNA". It matches the Rfam family "Eukaryotic large subunit ribosomal RNA", at positions 52 to 826 of the family's 3401-position model. Lineage: Eukaryota; Raphidophyceae; Chattonellales; Chattonellaceae. The record is from RNAcentral.
GGAGGAAAAGAAACCAACUCGGAUUCCCCUAGUAACGGCGAGUGAAGCGGGAAGAGCUCAUGUUGUAAAUCUGGAUGAGGGUUCCUCGUCCCGAAUUGUAGUCUAGAGAUGCGUGCUCAGCUACUCUCCAGGGCUAAGUCUGUUUGUGAAAGACAGUGUCAUGGACGGUGAUAACCCGGUUCUUGCCUUGGAUGUUGUAGCGUUUUGAGCCGUCCUCAACGAGUCGAGUUGCUUGGGAUUGCAGCUCUAAGUGGGUGGUAAAUUCCAUCUAAAGCUAAAUAUUGGUGGGAGACCGAUAGCGAACAAGUACCGUGAGGGAAAGAUGAAAAGAACUUUGAAAAGAGAGUUAAAUAGUACCUGAAACUGCUGAAAGGGAAGCGAAUGAAGUCAGUGUUGCUCUUUGUGCUCUGCAUCCUCCCUGCGGGGAUUGUGUAUCGAGGACUUUGAGCUUGUCAGGAUGAGUUCUCUGCCGCGGGAUAUGUUUUGUAUGCUGGAUGCUUUUUGCGGAACAUACAUUCUCUGUCGUGGCUUGGACUGAGGUUCCAUCUUGCCGUUGCCUGUGCGUUCCUCUCCCGUUGCUGUCUCUGUUCUACUGCUUGCAGUGCUCAGUUGCAGUAGUUGGACUGUGCGUAUUAUGCAUGCAAGGUCAGGAUCCUGACGAAAUGGCUUUAUUUACCCCGUCUUGAAACACGGACCAAGGAGUCUAACAUACGUGCGAGUACUUUGGUGACAAACCAAUGUGCGCAAUGAAAGUAAAGGCUGGCUUCCGUCAGCUCAGGUGGGAUCCGUUUGGAGCACCAUCGACCGACCAUUAUGCCUUCGGGCUAAAGGUUUGAGUGUGAGCAUUUAUGUUGGGACCCGAAAGAUGG